Molecule: ribosomal RNA, 655 nt
Filed under: Chryseobacterium viscerum
Lineage: Bacteria; Pseudomonadati; Bacteroidota; Flavobacteriia; Flavobacteriales; Weeksellaceae
Description: bacterial SSU rRNA
Rfam family: Bacterial small subunit ribosomal RNA
Source: RNAcentral
GCCGAGCGGUAGAGAUUCUUCGGAAUCUUGAGAGCGGCGUACGGGUGCGGAACACGUGUGCAACCUGCCUUUAUCUGGGGGAUAGCCUUUCGAAAGGAAGAUUAAUACCCCAUAAUAUAUUGACUGGCAUCAGUUGAUAUUGAAAACUCCGGUGGAUAGAGAUGGGCACGCGCAAGAUUAGAUAGUUGGUGAGGUAACGGCUCACCAAGUCUACGAUCUUUAGGGGGCCUGAGAGGGUGAUCCCCCACACUGGUACUGAGACACGGACCAGACUCCUACGGGAGGCAGCAGUGAGGAAUAUUGGACAAUGGGUGAGAGCCUGAUCCAGCCAUCCCGCGUGAAGGACGACGGCCCUAUGGGUUGUAAACUUCUUUUGUAUAGGGAUAAACCUACUCUCGUGAGAGUAGCUGAAGGUACUAUACGAAUAAGCACCGGCUAACUCCGUGCCAGCAGCCGCGGUAAUACGGAGGGUGCAAGCGUUAUCCGGAUUUAUUGGGUUUAAAGGGUCCGUAGGCGGAUCUGUAAGUCAGUGGUGAAAUCUCACAGCUUAACUGUGAAACUGCCAUUGAUACUGCAGGUCUUGAGUGUUGUUGAAGUAGCUGGAAUAAGUAGUGUAGCGGUGAAAUGCAUAGAUAUUACUUAGAACACCAAUUGC